This 6078-nucleotide long non-coding RNA is filed under the name Sus scrofa (pig). RNAcentral describes it as "lncRNA (ENSSSCG00045006751.1)". Lineage: Eukaryota; Metazoa; Chordata; Mammalia; Artiodactyla; Suidae. The record is from RNAcentral.
ACUCAAUAAGGUUGCCUGGGCUAAGAAUGUGGGGUUUUCAUGCCCAUGUGCAAGACAGUUGACCUUCAGAUCACCAAAGGAAGAGAAAUGAAACUGAGACCCCUGCAUAAAUCUGAAAACUUCAGAGAUCUCAUUUAACAAAAGGACUUCAAAAAACUUCAUGCAUUAGCACAGGGAAGCAAUAAUGAACAGUGUUUCUAUUAUGGGUGGAAAAGGGGAAAAAAAGUAAAUUUAACCCUUUUGUGUGGAGAGAAUAACACUAAGCCAAAUAUAUUAAACAAAAUGUUCCUGGACUAUUUGUAUCUCUGGGCAACUAGCAGAAGAAUGUGCAAAAUUAUUCUGUAGCAAUGAUUGCACAACAAAGGUCCCUGGACUCCCAAAGGAAGCACAAUCUUACCAAAGAAGAUCUUAGAAUAAAAAAGUAUAGUAGCAUGCAAAAACAACCCACCGUGAGUGAAAUCAGCAGGAUUAGGCUUCCAAGAAUAUUAGAUUAAAAGGGUACAGGGUAAGGACUACAGACUGUGUGUUUUAAAUUAAAAACAUGACAGAGGAAGGAAUAAAUAUUAUAGUAAGAGUUCCCACUGUGGCACAGUGGGUUAAGAAUCUAGUUGCAGAGGCUCGGGUCACUGUGGAAGUGGGGGUUCAGUCCCUGGCCAGGUGCAAUGAGUAAAAGGAUUGUGCGUUGACACAGCUGCAGUAUUGGUUCUAUCCCUGGCUCAGGAACUUCCAUAUACAGCUUCUGGGUGAGGCCAUUAAAAAACAUAUGUCACAAUAAAAGAAUAGAACACUAUAAUACAAGACAGUGAAUUUUAAGAAGAAAUAUCUAAAAUUCCUAGAAAUUUAAAAAUAUUUUAAAAUAUAUUUAUAAUUCAUUAAAAUACUUUGUAGAUAGCUAAAAUGAUAGAUUAAAACUUAAACUAAAAAUAAUAAUGACAUCUGAGAAUAUAACCCUAAAAAUAGCAAAGAUAAGAAUAAUAGGAGAUAUAUGAAGCAAUAGGAUGUGUCAAAUGAAAAGGUCCAGGAAAAAUAUAAAAGUAUUUUAGGAGGAAAGGAUAGAGAGUAUCAAGGGGAAAAGUAUUAGAAAAAAUAAUGACUGGCAUUUGUUUAUAAUUAGCCAGGUUAAAGAACCAUAAUGAGUUCCAAGCAGAAUUUUGGAAAAAUAAUGUUGUAUUGAAACUGCAGCUCAAAGAGACAAAGAAAAAAUGUCUUUGUAGUCUUAUAAUGGGACAAUUGGAUUGACAGCAGACAUCUUAUCCUAAAAAUAGAUACCAGAAGAAGGUAUGAGAUGAUAUCUUCAAAGUGCUGAGGGAAAAUCAUUGUCAAUCUAGAAAUAUUUAUCUACCUAUGCUAUCCUUCAGAUUCUAAAGUGAAUGUAGACAGUUCAGGAAAGACAUAAAAAGACUGAGCAUGUUUAACCAUCACAGAUAUUUGCAGAAAUAGGUACAAGAGUAAGAAGGAGAAUUAGGAGGGUUAGGAUAUUUAAAAUAAUAAUGAGAAAAUAAAUUGAUACAUGUGGGAGUUAUUUUGGCUAAACAUAAAUAAUGGUGAUAAUGAUGACAGAUUUGAUCAGGAAUAGAACUGCUACAAUAAGAUAGAACUAAAAUGCUAUCAAAUAAUAACAUGGAAUAUUAAGUGUAGUAUUAAAAUCAUCAAUAAUACAACUUUAUAAAAAUUAAUUUGAAAAUAUAGAUCUAAUGAAAAGAAGGAUUAGCACUUCAAAUAUCAAUAUUUAUCAUAAAGCAGAGUAAACAAGAUAAUGUUGUAAUGGCACAGGUAAAUAAAAAGAGAAUAAUCAAAAAAGAACCCAGAAACAAUUAAAUGCCUGCUUAUGUGAUCUAGACAUAUGAGUUAAGAGUAUUACAAGUCAAUGGGAAAAGGAACGACACUCUUAUACACCAGCAGAAAGGAGGGAAGGAAGGAGGAAGCGAGGAAGAAAACUGGCUAAAAUUAUACACACAUGAAGUAAAAUAUUGAUAAAUUUUAGUAUAUGAGAACUAUGUAUGAUAAAACAUAAAUGAAGCUAAAAGUCAGAGAUUGAGAGCAGAUAUUUUCAGUGAAUGAAAUAAACAAAGAAUUAGUCUCCAAAAUACAUAAAGUACUUUUACAAAUCAAUAAGAAAGCUAUAACCUAAUUUUAAAAUGAACAACAGCUGUGAAUAGAAGGAAAUUCAAAUGGAUAGUAUAUGAAAAGAUGCGAAGCCUCACCAGUAAUUAAGAAAAUGCACAUCAAAAUUUCAAGGAGUUAACUUUACAUGUUAUUUUUGGAAAAAAAUGAAUAAGCCUGAUUAUAAUGUGUCAUUUAGAAUAUAGGACUCAUAUAAACUACAAAUUAUGUAAAUUGGGAAUAAAUUUGUAAUAUAAGUUCAAAACGGACACAUCUGAUGAUCCAUCAAUUACAUUUUGAAGUAUCUAGGUAAAGUUAUAUGUACUUAAAGAGAGAAGUACAAAAAUGUUUCUUGAACAUUAUCUUCACAUGAAUUUGAGGUGGAGUGGAGUCGGGUGGGAGAUUUUGAUUUUAUAAUGAAGAAUAUUUAAAAUUAAUCUGAAUCAUAUAUGGCAAAAUGUUAACAUUUAUUAAAUCUAGGUGGUAUGUACAUGAGUGAAUGUUAAAUUGCUUUCUUAUAUCUCUGUGUGCCUAAAUAUAUCAUAAUUAAACAUUUAAAAAUGAGGGCAUCUGAGAUAUUCAAACACUAAAGAAUUGAUUUUGAUGAUUUUUGAGAUCAGAAAAAAAAAAAUAAGUAGGCUUAGCCCACUAUAGUUAGAGUUAAUGUUUUUAUUAAUUGUGGUGACUCAAACACUUUUUCCACACUUAUCCAUGACUGGUUGGUUCUUUGGGGCAGAAAUAUAAGUAUCUGCAAUUGGGUCUUUUGUUUUAGUAUACCUAUACAAUUACAGGGACCAUUUUUCAUAUUGUCCAUAUAAGUAAAACAUGUAUGAAUAAUUGGCUAUUCCUUUGCCUUUUUAGGUACAUUGACACUAAUUAUUGCACUUUUUCCAAUUGACAUUUAUUAUUAGACAUACAUAGAAUCUAAAAAAAUUGUAAUUUUCUUCCUGAGUUCCCAUAUUAUUUUUCAAAUAGCUGUUAUGCCAUUCUGCAGUGAAAUUUAUCACUUUAUACCUCUGUGUCCCCAACUCUAUACAACUUCUUGAGAGGCGGGAUUAUAUAUUACUCAUUCUGGGGUCCCUAGUGCUUGACAAUAGUAAUUAGCAAUACAGGUUUUUUGGAAAAGUAUUGUUUACCUUUUUAAUCAUUUAAGUAAUAACAUGAGUAUAUCUCAUUGUAGAAGACUCAAAUCUUACACAACUAUGUACAGCAAAUAUAACUGUUUUAUAAAUUAUCCUCCUCUUUCACUACUCUCUACAGAGGUAACUAACAUCAACUUUUUUGUAUCCCUGUGAACUGAAGCUAAAUAUCAUGUUUAUCUUCUUUUAGUCAUAAAUUCUAUGUAGUGUGUACUUGACACUUGCUAUUUGAUAAGGCGACUGAUUUUGGAUCCCAAGGGCUAUUGAGAAUGUGUAUCAGAAAUGCAAAGACAUCAAAAAAUAUUUAAAUGUUUAUUGGUUUUGUACAUUGAUAUUUUUAUGUUACAAACAUGUAUUUUCUUUGGUAUAUAUUAUACACCAAAACUAGAUAGAUUUUCAAGCUACCAGAUAUUAGUUUUUAGGGUUUAAUAUUUACUGUUUUUAUAAAUGUCUAUGAUAUAUUUAGAUGAUUUUUAAAAGGAAAUCACUUGUGUGCUAGACAGAAAAUGUAGCUGUAUAAUUCUUAAUGGCUUGAUUUAAAUAUUGCAUUUUACCGUGAGAAUUCAGAGGAGCCUCACACAGUGUGUGUGUUGAGGCAUGAACCAAAAGCUGCUUAAAAGGAUUAAUGUUGCAUCUCAAACUCAGCUGCACUGGUAGGCUUCUGUCAUAUGAGAGGUAUUAAAAAUGAAAUUAUAAAGGAAAAGUUCUGCCCAGGUAUUGAUGAUACACAGAUGGAAAGCGUCUCAAAAACUUGUUUUCCAUACAUGGCAGAGCUGCAAAAGUUAUUUAUCUCAAUCAACAGAGCAAUGGUUAGAGACCAUUAGGAUUUACUGCAGGCAGCUGCUACCUUUUUGUAGCAGGCACACCUGCCCAGAGAGAGCCCAGUGAAGAUAGUUAUAUAACCAUGGCAAUGGCUUCAUUCCACUGACAUGACACCCAUCUUUAAGAAAACUUUUACAAUUGAAAAUAUGUGGGUAUGCUUCUAUUGACUCUUCUAGACUUUCCAAGUUGGUGGAUUCUCUUACUUUUCCAUAGACACAUUCAAAAAAUAUAUUUUGAGUACUUGCACUGUGCUAAGCAUUUGCAUAACAUGAGCAUGGAUCGUGACUACAAAUGACCUAUUCCACACUUUCUCUCUCCAAAUAUCUAUUUAAGGAGCAGUAGUUAUUAUUGCUAUGUUUAAAGUUAAAUCUUAACUGGUAGGCCCAAUCUAUUUUUUUAAGAACUCCAUCCUACAAAAGUUUAUAAAGCCUCUGGCCAGGUGUGUAAAUAAUUAAAGGUUCAAUUUAGAGCUAAACCAAUCAACAAAAUGAUCAAGCAUCAAAGAUCGCUCCAAGCCCCAGUUUUAGUGACUUUGGAAAUCUAAACGAAGAAAGUGUAAAAAUUAUUUUAUGAUCUGGCAGCCCCAUCAGAGUAAAUUAACAUUCUUUGAUUUCCCCUAUGUUAUUUGAAAGCUCACUAUUGUUUUCUCACCUCUUUAUUGCCAGAUUCCAUCUUAAAAUGUUAAAAAUAGAAAUCUCCACUCAUUAAUUUAUGGAUGAAUGGUUCCCCCCCCCUUUUAUCUACUUUAUUCUGUUAACUGAAUAGUCUUUUAACAUGGCUUAGACAAAUUCUAUGUGGGAAUAAUAAAUACCUUUCACAUCAUAGCAAUAUUGGGGUAAGCUAUGGUCCUGCUGAGUGGCUCUUUGAACACUAAGCAGGAGUUAUCAUUUAUUUAUUUUUGGGGUUUCUGUGGCACUUUUCUUCCAAAGAGUACAAGGUGCGACAUGGAGAAUUUUGCACAGGGGUUGUCUAGGAGUGUCAAAAGGAAAUUAAAGGAAAGCAGAGUUCGUAGGAAGUGAGAACACACAGCAAAAAUAACAGCUAAUGGCAAAACCAAGCCCCAGGUGGCCAUUUGGCAUGUUGAAAAAGGUAGAAGAAUCAGGCCUGCCCCAAGGGUGCCACAGUUUGCUUUUCAGAGCCCGAGGUCAUUUUAUCAGAGCUAUGCCUUGGUGAGCACUAGACAUUUCUGUUCAAUACUCACAUGAAGACCCAUAGACCCAGAAUCAGAAUCAUAGACUCAUUGGGCAGGAAGGGGCUCUCAAAAUCUUCUGCCCAAUCUUCUGAAUUCCCAGAUGAGGCAAAUCUAGCUCAGAGAAAAUAAAGAAACCAUCUAGAAACCAAGCCAGGGUUAGAACCCAGGUUAUUCAUUCAUUCAACAAACAUACAUUGAAUUCAUUGUGCUAAACAUUGUUCCAGGCAUCAGGGUUCCUUUAGUCAGUAACAGGGACAUGGGUCCUGAUCCCACACUGCUGCUGUCUCCCUCCAGUUGUUUACAAGGAUAUUCAGUGAACUUUAUAAACCAGCAUUCUGUUGACUGAAGACCCAAUCCUCUUUGAGGGUAAACCUCAAGUGACUUAGAGUGAGAGAAGGAAGUUCUUUUCCAAUUAUCUGUGUGAUGACAUUCUUUGGUCAAGAGGUGCUUCUAGGGCACAUCCAUCAGGUCAGCUGGAAAACAUUUACUUGAUUGAGUUUCAUUUGUAUAGCAAUGGCAGGAAGAUUUUCCUUGCUGAGAUGAGCAGUUUAAUUUUUUGUCUUCCAGUAGGACGGGCAAAGGUUGAGACACUAUCUCUCUUGGAGAAAAUAUUGGUCUCUUAAAAUUGACUUCACCUUUAAAAUGCCUCAAUAAUAGUCUAAACCCUAAUAAGAUAAUUGAAAUUGGAAGCACAUGGUGGUAAAAUCACAUGUGAGAAUUCUUCAGAGGAGCAUGGUUUAAGAGCUGCCAUGAAUCUACCUUUUCAAAAGUGACAUUCCAAUCUUCCUUUUAACACUGGAUAUCACUAUAGGAAAACUCUGG